AGCGAACGCUGGCGGCAGGCUUAACACAUGCAAGUCGAGCGGGCACUUCGGUGUCAGCGGCAGACGGGUGAGUAACACGUGGGAACGUACCCUUCGGUUCGGAAUAACGCUGGGAAACUAGCGCUAAUACCGGAUACGCCCUUUUGGGGAAGGGUUUACUGCCGAAGGAUCGGCCCGCGUCUGAUUAGCUAGUUGGUGGGGUAAUGGCCUACCAAGGCGACGAUCAGUAGCUGGUCUGAGAGGAUGAUCAGCCACACUGGGACUGAGACACGGCCCAGACUCCUACGGGAGGCAGCAGUGGGGAAUAUUGGACAAUGGGCGCAAGCCUGAUCCAGCCAUGCCGCGUGAGUGAUGAAGGCCUUAGGGUUGUAAAGCUCUUUUGUCCGGGACGAUAAUGACGGUACCGGAAGAAUAAGCCCCGGCUAACUUCGUG
RNAcentral lists this ribosomal RNA (433 nucleotides) under uncultured bacterium. RNAcentral describes it as "partial 16S ribosomal RNA". It matches the Rfam family "Bacterial small subunit ribosomal RNA", at positions 29 to 507 of the family's 1533-position model. The record is from RNAcentral.